CAGUCGCCGCGGGAAUACGUAGGUGGCAAGCGUUGUCCGGAUUUAUUGGGCGUAAAGCGAGCGCAGGCGGUCAAUUAAGUCUGAUGUGAAAGCCCCCGGCUCAACCGGGGAGGGUCAUUGGAAACUGGUUGACUUGAGUGCAGAAGAGGAGAGUGGAAUUCCAUGUGUAGCGGUGAAAUGCGUAGAUAUAUGGAGGAACACCAGUGGCGAAGGCGACUCUCUGGUCUGUAACUGACGCUGAGGAGCGAAAGCGUGGGGAGCGAACAGGAUUAGAUACCCCAGUAGUCCCUGUCUCUUAUAC
This 301-nucleotide ribosomal RNA is filed under the name uncultured bacterium. Its description in RNAcentral is "partial 16S ribosomal RNA". It matches the Rfam family "Bacterial small subunit ribosomal RNA", at positions 509 to 807 of the family's 1533-position model. The record is from RNAcentral.